CCUACGGGAGGCAGCAGUGGGGAAUAUUGGACAAUGGGGGGAACCCUGAUCCAGCCAUGCCGCGUGUGUGAAGAAGGCCCUCGGGUUGUAAAGCACUUUCAGUGAGGAAGAACGCCUGGUGGUUAAUACCUAUCAGGAAAGACAUCACUCACAGAAGAAGCACCGGCUAACUCCGUGCCAGCAGCCGCGGUAAUACGGAGGGUGCGAGCGUUAAUCGGAAUUACUGGGCGUAAAGCGCGCGUAGGUGGCUUGAUAAGCCGGUUGUGAAAGCCCCGGGCUCAACCUGGGAACGGCAUCCGGAACUGUCAAGCUAGAGUGCAGGAGAGGAAGGUAGAAUUCCCGGUGUAGCGGUGAAAUGCGUAGAGAUCGGGAGGAAUACCAGUGGCGAAGGCGGCCUUCUGGACUGACACUGACACUGAGGUGCGAAAGCGUGGGUAGCAAACAGGAUUAGAUACCCCUGUAGUC
This 465-nucleotide ribosomal RNA is filed under the name Vreelandella stevensii. Its description in RNAcentral is "partial 16S ribosomal RNA". It matches the Rfam family "Bacterial small subunit ribosomal RNA", at positions 338 to 795 of the family's 1533-position model. The record is from RNAcentral. Lineage: Bacteria; Pseudomonadati; Pseudomonadota; Gammaproteobacteria; Oceanospirillales; Halomonadaceae.